UUAUUUUGGCAGAUUAGUGCAAUGAAUUUAGAAUUCAUAUAUAUAAAAUUAUAUUAUAAAUAAUA
RNAcentral lists this transfer RNA (65 nucleotides) under Nebria uenoiana. RNAcentral describes it as "tRNA-Leu". The record is from RNAcentral. Lineage: Eukaryota; Metazoa; Arthropoda; Insecta; Coleoptera; Carabidae.